GCCGAUUCUUAUUACACAGCUAUAAACCAGGCUCAUCAAAUAAUAGAUCCAACUACAUAUAUCUAUGG
RNAcentral lists this small RNA (68 nucleotides) under Arabidopsis thaliana (thale cress). Its description in RNAcentral is "ATSL167710". The record is from RNAcentral. Lineage: Eukaryota; Viridiplantae; Streptophyta; Magnoliopsida; Brassicales; Brassicaceae.